RNAcentral lists this ribosomal RNA (328 nucleotides) under uncultured Pseudomonadota bacterium. RNAcentral's name for it is "bacterial SSU rRNA". It matches the Rfam family "Bacterial small subunit ribosomal RNA", at positions 30 to 351 of the family's 1533-position model. The record is from RNAcentral. Lineage: Bacteria; Pseudomonadati; Pseudomonadota.
AUUGAACGCUGGCGGCAUGCCUAACACAUGCAAGUCGAACGGCAGCAUGGUCUAGCUUGCUAGACUGAUGGCGAGUGGCGGACGGGUGAGUAACGCGUAGGAAUAUGCCUUAUAGAGUGGGAUAACUUGGGGAAACUCAAGCUAAUACCGCAUAAUUUCUUAGGAAUAAAGCUGGGGACCGUUAAGGCCUGGCGCUAUAAGAUUAGCCUGCGUCCGAUUAGCUAGUUGGUAGGGUAAAGGCCUACCAAGGCGACGAUCGGUAGCUGGUCUGAGAGGAUGACCAGCCACACUGGAACUGAGACACGGUCCAGACUCCUACGGGAGGCUG